Molecule: ribosomal RNA, 447 nt
Filed under: uncultured bacterium
Lineage: Bacteria
Description: bacterial SSU rRNA
Rfam family: Bacterial small subunit ribosomal RNA
Source: RNAcentral
UCGGGAAUUUUGGGCAAUGGGGGAAACCCUGACCCAGCAACGCCGCGUGAAGGAUGAGGUAUUUCGGUAUGUAAACUUCGAAAGAAUAGGAAGAAUAAAUGACGGUACUAUUUAUAAGGUCCGGCUAACUACGUGCCAGCAGCCGCGGUAAUACGUAGGGACCAAGCGUUGUUCGGAUUUACUGGGCGUAAAGGGCGCGUAGGCGGCAUGACAAGUCACUUGUGAAAUCUCUGGGCUUAACCCAGAACGGCCAAGUGAUACUGUCGCGCUAGAGUGCAGAAGGGGCAAUCGGAAUUCUUGGUGUAGCGGUGAAAUGCGUAGAUAUCAAGAGGAACACCUGAGGUGAAGACGGGUUGCUGGGCUGACACUGACGCUGAGGCGCGAAAGCCAGGGGAGCAAACGGGAUUAGAUACCCACGUAGUCCCUGAGCGGGCUGGCAAGGCGCAU